Molecule: long non-coding RNA, 308 nt
Filed under: Capsella rubella
Lineage: Eukaryota; Viridiplantae; Streptophyta; Magnoliopsida; Brassicales; Brassicaceae
Description: long non-coding RNA (CRUB_LNC000534)
Source: RNAcentral
AAAUAUAUAUAUAUACCUUUCAGCAGGAAAUUAUAGAAACAAGAGGUGUAGAGUUGAAGGUUGGAUUGUAUUUUGAAUUCUGUGAAAAGUAAAACACAUAUGUUAGUGACUAGAAAAAUUAUAAUAUACGUAAUUUAAAGAAAAAUAUUACCUUUGGAAAAAAAAGGUUAGAACACGAGAGAAAGAAGAAGUGUGAGGUGUGAGUGUUAUAUAGAAAAAAAGAAAAGGUGUUUCUUGAGUUAUUAUUUUAUUAAAAAAAUAAAAAAAGUAAAAAACACAGAUAAAAAAACAUCAAAAGAAGCGUGAAC